UACGUAGGGGGCGAGCGUUAUCCGGAAUUAUUGGGCGUAAAGGGUGCGUAGGCGGCCAAAUAAGUCAGGUGUGAAAGGCGUCGGCUCAACCGGCGUAAGCACUUGAAACUAUUUGGCUUGAGUACAGGAGAGGAAAGUGGAAUUCCUAGUGUAGCGGUGAAAUGCGUAGAUAUUAGGAGGAACACCAGUGGCGAAGGCGACUUUCUGGACUGAUACUGACGCUGAGGCACGAAAGCGUGGGGAGCGAACAGG
Molecule: ribosomal RNA, 252 nt
Filed under: uncultured bacterium
Lineage: Bacteria
Description: partial 16S ribosomal RNA
Rfam family: Bacterial small subunit ribosomal RNA
Source: RNAcentral